UGGGGAAUUUUGGACAAUGGGGGAAACCCUGAUCCAGCCAUCCCGCGUGUGCGAUGAAGGCCUUCGGGUUGUAAAGCACUUUUGGCAGGAAAGAAACGUCAUGGGUUAAUACCCCGUGAAACUGACGGUACCUGCAGAAUAAGCACCGGCUAACUACGUGCCAGCAGCCGCGGUAAUACGUAGGGUGCAAGCGUUAAUCGGAAUUACUGGGCGUAAAGCGUGCGCAGGCGGUUCGGAAAGAAAGAUGUGAAAUCCCAGAGCUCAACUUUGGAACUGCAUUUUUAACUACCGUGCUAGAGUGUGUCAGAGGGAGGUGGAAUUCCGCGUGUAGCAGUGAAAUGCGUAGAUAUGCGGGGGAACACCGAUGGCGAAGGCAGCCUCCUGGGAUAACACUGACGCUCAUGCACGAAAGCGUGGGGAGCAAACAGG
This 429-nucleotide ribosomal RNA is filed under the name Acidobacteriota bacterium. Its description in RNAcentral is "Acidobacteria bacterium partial 16S ribosomal RNA". It matches the Rfam family "Bacterial small subunit ribosomal RNA", at positions 355 to 776 of the family's 1533-position model. Lineage: Bacteria; Pseudomonadati; Acidobacteriota. The record is from RNAcentral.